RNAcentral lists this ribosomal RNA (486 nucleotides) under uncultured bacterium. RNAcentral's name for it is "partial 16S ribosomal RNA". It matches the Rfam family "Bacterial small subunit ribosomal RNA", at positions 30 to 507 of the family's 1533-position model. The record is from RNAcentral.
AUUGAACGCUGGCGGCAUACCUUACACAUGCCAGUCGAACGGCAGCACGGGUGCUUGCACCUGGUGGCGAGUGGCGAACGGGUGAGUAAUACAUCGGAACAUGUCCUGUAGUGGGGGAUAGCCCGGCGAAAGCCGGAUUAAUACCGCAUACGAUCUACGGAUGAAAGCGGGGGACCUUCGGGCCUCGCGCUAUAGGGUUGGCCGAUGGCUGAUUAGCUAGUUGGUGGGGUAAAGGCCUACCAAGGCGACGAUCAGUAGCUGGUCUGAGAGGACGACCAGCCACACUGGGACUGAGACACGGCCCAGACUCCUACGGGAGGCAGCAGUGGGGAAUUUUGGACAAUGGGCGAAAGCCUGAUCCAGCAAUGCCGCGUGUGUGAAGAAGGCCUUCGGGUUGUAAAGCACUUUUGUCCGGAAAGAAAUCCUUGGCCCUAAUACGGUCGGGGGAUGACGGUACCGGAAGAAUAAGCACCGGCUAACUACGUG